GACAGAGGGUGCAAACGUUAUCCGGAAUUAUUGGGCGUAAAGAGCUCGUAGGCGGUUUGUCGCGUCUGCCGUGAAAGUCCGGGGCUCAACUCCGGAUCUGCGGUGGGUACGGGCAGACUAGAGUGAUGUAGGGGAGACUGGAAUUCCUGGUGUAGCGGUGAAAUGCGCAGAUAUCAGGAGGAACACCGAUGGCGAAGGCAGGUCUCUGGGCAUUAACUGACGCUGAGGAGCGAAAGCAUGGGGAGCGAACAGG
RNAcentral lists this ribosomal RNA (253 nucleotides) under uncultured bacterium. Its description in RNAcentral is "partial 16S ribosomal RNA". It matches the Rfam family "Bacterial small subunit ribosomal RNA", at positions 524 to 776 of the family's 1533-position model. The record is from RNAcentral.